Long non-coding RNA from Syngnathus acus (greater pipefish), 739 nucleotides. RefSeq lists it as uncharacterized. The record is from RefSeq and is a predicted model, not a curated record. NCBI's taxonomy places the organism in Eukaryota, Metazoa, Chordata, Actinopteri, Syngnathiformes, Syngnathidae. The transcript has 3 exons.
CUCAUGCCUUCGAUGUCCUCGGGAGGGAGGAUCUUGAUCUGUGACGUUCCCUUCAGAAAUUGCUCGGAUUCAGACAUCCCUGUGGAAAGACAGACAAUGGUUGGGAUCGUUACGGCCAAGCCACAGUUGGGAUGCAGCCAGGCGGCCUUGCGUGCAUGAGACAAAAGCCCAAGGCAGCACAACGCUUAACAGGAAGGAUUGCUGGUGGGCAACUUUGAGGGAAGGAACAAUAGGCAUGCAGCGGCAGCGCAAGUCUUCUUCAGCGACAUCACGGGCAAGACCAACCCGAGUCCCGAAAUAUAAACUUUGUUACCUCGAGGAUGGUCAGCAUAGUCAGGUCUUUGGAUUUCACUGGGUACAGGCCGCAAAGGUGUCUGAAGUGAAAAGCAGAACACGUGUUGGGCCCCCUUGCAAUCGCAGCAAAAGUUGCUUCUACAAAGUAUUUGCCCAUGUCCUACUUUUUAGUUGUUGUCGGGUUGUUUUUUUUAAGCAAAAGAAAAAAAAAAAACACAAAACAUUUCAAAUACCCGAUAAAGUUGGAUACAGACAAAAACGAGACAGGCAACUCACCAGAGGGUAGUAAGGACGAAGUUUCCCCGCGUAGCGGUAGCCAGGCCAUGGGUCUGUGUUGAUGUCUUUUUCCACACAGUUCUUACAUUCAUUCUGGUUCUUGUCCUCCUCUGACAAAACAACACAAGAUUUACAACGCCAUAAUAAAGAUCAUAGUGGCACAAAGGAA